UAUUCCAGACAGUCCAAGGUCCUGCAACUGGUUCUUGCAGCCCAAAAGCAGUGUGUGCUGCAACCUGCUGCCCAGGAGCUGAGCAUACUUGCACCUGUUUCACCUGUAGAAAGCACACCCAAUAAGUCAGGUCAAGUUUAAAUCGUACUUGCUUAAAUCAUUAAAAGAAUAGAUUACCCCAAAACAUGAAAAACUGAAAAUGCACUCACUCUCUGGCCAUCCAAGAUGUAGAUGAGCUUUGGAAUUAGCAUUACAUUGCUUUCUCACCAAUGGAUCCUUUGCAGUGAUUACUUGUGGUUUAUUUGGUUUUUAUCUGCUCUUUGAAAUCUCAUUCUGAUGGAACUCAUUCACUGCAGAGGAUCCAUUGUUAAGCAAAUGAUGUAAUGCUAAAUUUCUCCAAAUCUUUUUUGAUGGAUAAACAAACUCAUCUACAUCUUGAGGUUGAGUGCAUUUUUAGCACAUUUUCAUUUUGGGGGGGCAAAGUAUUUCUUUGAAGUGUUAACAAAGGGAAUUAUAUGCUCUUUCUUUCUCAGCUGUAAAAGAGAAAAAACCCUACAUUGUUCUCCCUCCUCCUGAAGGCUACAUCAUUAAUAGUGAGGAGGAUUUGGUCCAAUCACCAUCCAAUCCAGAUCCUAUUGACUCAAGAGGACACCCCAGCCGAUGCUGACCAUAAAGUAUCCACCCCUCCAGCAGAGGGCGAUGUGCUGGAGAAAACAGAUGUUUCACAUCCCAGUGAAUAAGGGGACACUGGAAGCUCAGUCAGCACAGAGCGGCUCAGCAAGAACAGAAAGAGGGGAAAACAUUACAAAAAAAAAAAAAACCUCGUUGGAUUGGUGCCUCGAGCAAGAGCUGUUGAAUUCAUGUAUGCACAGAGUGGAGAUGGAAAUUCAGAGGAGGUGCUCGACUUCCUUCGUACCACACACGAGAUCUACCUCUCUGAUCGCAAAUCAUCUGGCUCCUGUGUAG
This 966-nucleotide long non-coding RNA is filed under the name Carassius auratus (goldfish). RNAcentral's name for it is "lncRNA (ENSCARG00000051703.1)". The record is from RNAcentral. Lineage: Eukaryota; Metazoa; Chordata; Actinopteri; Cypriniformes; Cyprinidae.